CGGGUGAGUAAUAUAUCGGAACGUGCACAGUCGUGGGGGAUAACGUAGCGAAAGCUAGCGCGAAUACCGGAUACGAUCUAUGGAUGAAAGCGGGGGAUCGCAAGACCUCGCGCGAUUGGAGCGGCCGAUAUCAGAUUAGCUAGUUGGUGGGGUAAAAGCCCACCAAUGCGACGAUCUGUAGCUGGUCUGAGAGGACGACCAGCCACACGUGGAACUGAGACACGGUCCAGACUCCUACGGGAGGCAGCAGUGGGGAAUUUUGGACAAUGGGCGAAAGCCUGAUCCAGCAAUGCCGCGUGCAGGACGAAGGCCUUCGGGUUGUAAACU
RNAcentral lists this ribosomal RNA (327 nucleotides) under uncultured bacterium. Its description in RNAcentral is "bacterial SSU rRNA". It matches the Rfam family "Bacterial small subunit ribosomal RNA", at positions 103 to 431 of the family's 1533-position model. The record is from RNAcentral.